AAGUGAUACAAUUUUCUUGAAGUAGAGACAUAGAGAAGAGUUUCUGUGAUAUGUUGUUCAAGGGCUUAUUCCAUGUCACGGGUCACUGGAAGUGAUACAAUUUUCUUGAAGUAGAGACAUAGAGAAGAGUUUCUGUGGAGCUAAAGAUAGAGAUACACACUAAAGACAGAGUUGGGUUAUUAUAUGAUGCUAUACGGUCAAUAGCGUCAUAUAACGGUGUCAAUACUUACAAGGCAGAGACCGGACGGUGGCCGGAGGACGGACGGUGGUGGUCGGAGUAAAGCUAGAUGAGUAGAGCAGGGUGAGGAACUUGAAUGGGGGUUUUAAGCAUCAUGGUGCUGCUCCACAGGUUAAAUUUACAAGUUUUGAUGCCAGAUUGCAUAAUGGCCAGUGAAGUUUAGCAAGAUUCAAGUUCUGCAAUUGUAAAGGAUAGGUUAGUGGUAGGCAAGAGUUCAAAUGGAUUUAACUUGAACGAUGGGCUAAUAGUUGGAUAAAAAAGUAUUGUAAAUGGUCUUCGUGGUUGCAGUGAAGUUAGUGGUAUGAUUAGGUUACAAAGAAAUGAUUUUGAUUGUAAUUCAAUACAUCUGAUAACAUUUCUUAGGCAAAUUGCUAAACAAGGUGUAGACGUCAUUGACUUUUUGCUAUUAAGAAACAUGCCAGCCUCUUUACUAGACUUUCCCAGCCUCUUUACUAACCCUUUUUGGAGUUGUUUUGUUUCAUGGUCUAAUAUAAUGCAGCCUAGAUGUACACCUUCAAAAUUCGGCACUGAUGAUCAUGUUGGCUAGCCUUUGGUUGGCCAUAUUUUCACCUUCAUUACCCGUGGCGCAACAUAUGCAG
This 837-nucleotide long non-coding RNA is filed under the name Helianthus annuus (common sunflower). Lineage: Eukaryota; Viridiplantae; Streptophyta; Magnoliopsida; Asterales; Asteraceae. The record is from RNAcentral.